Molecule: ribosomal RNA, 783 nt
Filed under: Pseudoalteromonas carrageenovora
Lineage: Bacteria; Pseudomonadati; Pseudomonadota; Gammaproteobacteria; Alteromonadales; Pseudoalteromonadaceae
Description: bacterial SSU rRNA
Rfam family: Bacterial small subunit ribosomal RNA
Source: RNAcentral
UCGAGCGGUAACAGAAAGUACCUUGCUACUUUGCUGACGAGCGGCGGACGGGUGAGUAAUGCUUGGGAACAUGCCUUGAGGUGGGGGACAACAGUUGGAAACGACUGCUAAUACCGCAUAAUGUCUACGGACCAAAGGGGGCUUCGGCUCUCGCCUUUAGAUUGGCCCAAGUGGGAUUAGCUAGUUGGUGAGGUAAUGGCUCACCAAGGCAACGAUCCCUAGCUGGUUUGAGAGGAUGAUCAGCCACACUGGAACUGAGACACGGUCCAGACUCCUACGGGAGGCAGCAGUGGGGAAUAUUGCACAAUGGGCGAAAGCCUGAUGCAGCCAUGCCGCGUGUGUGAAGAAGGCCUUCGGGUUGUAAAGCACUUUCAGUCAGGAGGAAAGGGUGUGAGUUAAUACCUCAUAUCUGUGACGUUACUGACAGAAGAAGCACCGGCUAACUCCGUGCCAGCAGCCGCGGUAAUACGGAGGGUGCGAGCGUUAAUCGGAAUUACUGGGCGUAAAGCGUACGCAGGCGGUUUGUUAAGCGAGAUGUGAAAGCCCCGGGCUCAACCUGGGAACUGCAUUUCGAACUGGCAAACUAGAGUGUGAUAGAGGGUGGUAGAAUUUCAGGUGUAGCGGUGAAAUGCGUAGAGAUCUGAAGGAAUACCGAUGGCGAAGGCAGCCACCUGGGUCAACACUGACGCUCAUGUACGAAAGCGUGGGGAGCAAACGGGAUUAGAUACCCCGGUAGUCCACGCCGUAAACGAUGUCUACUAGAAGCUCGGAACCUCGGUUCUG